GGUCAAGCUACAAAGGGCUCACGGU
Molecule: ribosomal RNA, 25 nt
Filed under: Candidatus Synechococcus spongiarum
Lineage: Bacteria; Bacillati; Cyanobacteriota; Cyanophyceae; Synechococcales; Synechococcaceae
Description: partial 23S ribosomal RNA
Source: RNAcentral